Molecule: non-coding RNA, 102 nt
Organism: Mustela putorius furo (domestic ferret)
Lineage: Eukaryota; Metazoa; Chordata; Mammalia; Carnivora; Mustelidae
Source: Rfam
GCCUGCUUCGGCAGCACAUGAACUAAAACAGGAACAAUACAGAGAUUAGCAUGGCCCCUGUGCAAAAGUGAUAGGUAAAUUCGUAAAUUAUUUCAUACUUUU